This 395-nucleotide unclassified non-coding RNA is filed under the name soil metagenome. Its description in RNAcentral is "partial contains 5.8S ribosomal RNA, internal transcribed spacer 2, and large subunit ribosomal RNA". The stretch from base 1 to 122 matches the Rfam family "5.8S ribosomal RNA", at positions 35 to 154 of the family's 154-position model. The record is from RNAcentral.
GAUGAAGAACGCAGCGAAAUGCGAUACUUGGUGUGAAUUGCAGAAUCCCGUGAACCAUCGAGUCUUUGAACGCAAGUUGCGCCCGAAGCCAUCAGGUUGAGGGCACGUCUGCCUGGGCGUCACAUAUCGUUGCCCAAUGCCUUUUGCAGUGCAAUAGGAAUUUCUAGGGCGAAUGAUGGCUUCCCGUGAGCGUUGUUGCCUCGCGGUUGGUUGAAAAUCGAGUCCUUGGUAGGGUGUGCCAUGGUAGAUGGUGGUCGAGUUAGAACGAUACCGAUCAUGUGCAUGCUCCCCAAAAUAUGGCCUCUAUGACCCACACGCGUCUUUUGACGCUCAUGACGAGACCUCAGGUCAGGCGGGGCUACCCGCUGAAUUUAAGCAUAUCAAUAAGCGGAGGA